AAAUUGAAGAGUUUGAUCAUGGCUCAGAUUGAACGCUGGCGGCAGGCCUAACACAUGCAAGUCGAGCGGUAACACAGAGAGCUUGCUCUCGGGUGACGAGCGGCGGACGGGUGAGUAAUGUCUGGGAAACUGCCUGAUGGAGGGGGAUAACUACUGGAAACGGUAGCUAAUACCGCAUAACGUCGCAAGACCAAAGUGGGGGACCUUCGGGCCUCAUGCCAUCAGAUGUGCCCAGAUGGGAUUAGCUAGUAGGU
This 254-nucleotide ribosomal RNA is filed under the name Klebsiella aerogenes. RNAcentral describes it as "partial 16S ribosomal RNA". It matches the Rfam family "Bacterial small subunit ribosomal RNA", at positions 1 to 253 of the family's 1533-position model. The record is from RNAcentral. Lineage: Bacteria; Pseudomonadati; Pseudomonadota; Gammaproteobacteria; Enterobacterales; Enterobacteriaceae.